UGCUCCCUAGAUGUUAGCGGCGGACGGGAGAGUAACACGUGGGUAACCUGCCUGUAAGACUGGGAUAACUCCGGGAAACCGGGGCUAAUACCGGAUGGUUGUUUGAACCGCAUGGUUCAAACAUAAAAGGUGGCUUCGGCUACCACUUACAGAUGGACCCGCGGCGCAUUAGCUAGUUGGUGAGGUAACGGCUCACCAAGGCAACGAUGCGUAGCCGACCUGAGAGGGUGAUCGGCCACACUGGGACUGAGACACGGCCCAGACUCCUACGGGAGGCAGCAGUAGGGAAUCUUCCGCAAUGGACGAAAGUCUGACGGAGCAACGCCGCGUGAGUGAUGAAGGUUUUCGGAUCGUAAAGCUCUGUUGUUAGGGAAGAACAAGUACCGUUCGAAUAGGGCGGUACCUUGACGGUACCUAACCAGAAAGCCACGGCUAACUACGUGCCAGCAGCCGCGGUAAUACGUAGGUGGCAAGCGUUGUCCGGAAUUAUUGGGCGUAAAGGGCUCGCAGGCGGUUUCUUAAGUCUGAUGUGAAAGCCCCCGGCUCAACCGGGGAGGGUCAUUGGAAACUGGGGAACUUGAGUGCAGAAGAGGAGAGUGGAAUUCCACGUGUAGCGGUGAAAUGCGUAGAGAUGUGGAGGAACACCAGUGGCGAAGGCGACUCUCUGGUCUGUAACUGACGCUGAGGAGCGAAAGCGUGGGGAGCGAACAGGAUUAGAUACCCUGGUAGUCCACGCCGUAAACGAUGAGUGCUAAGUGUUAGGGGGUUUCCGCCCCUUAGUGCUGCAGCUAACGCAUUAAGCACUCCGCCUGGGGAGUACGGUCGCAAGACUGAAACUCAAAGGAAUUGACGGGGGCCCGCACAAGCGGUGGAGCAUGUGGUUUAAUUCGAAG
RNAcentral lists this ribosomal RNA (893 nucleotides) under Bacillus subtilis. Its description in RNAcentral is "bacterial SSU rRNA". It matches the Rfam family "Bacterial small subunit ribosomal RNA", at positions 79 to 956 of the family's 1533-position model. The record is from RNAcentral. Lineage: Bacteria; Bacillati; Bacillota; Bacilli; Caryophanales; Bacillaceae.